CCNGCGGUUUUUUNAUUUNGAUUNGAAAGCCNCNGNUCAACCGUGGAAGGUCAUUGGAAACUGGGAGACUUGAGUACAGAAGAGGAAAGCGGAAUUCCACGUGUAGCGGUGAAAUGCGUAGAGAUGUGGAGGAACACCAGUGGCGAAGGCGGCUUUCUGGUCUAUAACUGACGCUGAGGCGCGAAAGCGUUGGGGAGCAAACAGGAUUAGAUACCCUGGUAGUCCACGCCGUAAACGAUGAGUGCUAAGUGUUAGGGGGUUUCCGCCCCUUAGUGCUGCAGCAAACGCAUUAAGCACUCCGCCUGGGGAGUACGGCCGCAAGGCUGAAACUCAAAGGAAUUGACGGGGACCCGCACAAGCGGU
This 363-nucleotide ribosomal RNA is filed under the name uncultured bacterium. Its description in RNAcentral is "bacterial SSU rRNA". It matches the Rfam family "Bacterial small subunit ribosomal RNA", at positions 572 to 933 of the family's 1533-position model. The record is from RNAcentral.